GAUGAACGCUGGCGGCGUGCCUAAUACAUGCAAGUCGAGCGAACGGACGAGAAGCUUGCUUUUCUGAUGUUAGCGGCGGACGGGUGAGUAACACGUGGAUAACCUACCUAUAAGACUGGGAUAACUUCGGGAAACCGGAGCUAAUACCGGAUAAUAUUUUGAACCGCAUGGUUCAAAAGUGAAAGACGGUCUUGCUGUCACUUAUAGAUGGAUCCGCGCUGCAUUAGCUAGUUGGUAAGGUAACGGCUUACCAAGGCAACGAUGCAUAGCCGACCUGAGAGGGUGAUCGGCCACACUGGAACUGAGACACGGUCCAGACUCCUACGGGAGGCAGCAGUAGGGAAUCUUCCGCAAUGGGCGAAAGCCUGACGGAGCAACGCCGCGUGAGUGAUGAAGGUCUUCGGAUCGUAAAACUCUGUUAUUAGGGAAGAACAUAUGUGUAAGUAACUGUGCACAUCUUGACGGUACCUAAUCAGAAAGCCACGGCUAACUACGG
RNAcentral lists this ribosomal RNA (496 nucleotides) under uncultured bacterium. RNAcentral's name for it is "partial 16S ribosomal RNA". It matches the Rfam family "Bacterial small subunit ribosomal RNA", at positions 28 to 506 of the family's 1533-position model. The record is from RNAcentral.